RNAcentral lists this ribosomal RNA (454 nucleotides) under uncultured Prevotellaceae bacterium. RNAcentral's name for it is "bacterial SSU rRNA". It matches the Rfam family "Bacterial small subunit ribosomal RNA", at positions 341 to 792 of the family's 1533-position model. The record is from RNAcentral. Lineage: Bacteria; Pseudomonadati; Bacteroidota; Bacteroidia; Bacteroidales; Prevotellaceae.
ACGGAAGGCAGCAGUGAGGAAUAUUGGUCAAUGGGCGAGAGCCUGAACCAGCCAAGUCGCGUGCAGGAUGACGGCCCUAUGGGUUGUAAACUGCUUUUGUGCGGGAAUAACGUGCUCCACGUGUGGGGCAGUGCAUGUACCGUACGAAUAAGGAUCGGCUAACUCCGUGCCAGCAGCCGCGGUAAUACGGAGGAUCCGAGCGUUAUCCGGAUUUAUUGGGUUUAAAGGGAGCGUAGGCGGAAGGUCAAGUCAGCUGUGAAAUGUAGUCGCUCAACGUAUGCACUGCAGUUGAAACUGGCCUCCUUGAGUGCGUAAGAGGCAGGCGGAAUGUGUUGUGUAGCGGUGAAAUGCUUAGAUAUGACACAGAACACCGAUUGCGAAGGCAGCUUGCUGGGACGCAACUGACGCUGAGGCACGAAAGUGCGGGGAUCGAACAGGAUUAGAUACCCUGGUA